AUUGAACGCUGGCGGAAUGCUUUACACAUGCAAGUCGAGCGGCAGCGCGGCCUUCGGGCUGGCGGCGAGCGGCGAACGGGUGAGUAAUGCAUCGGAACAUGCCCAGUCGUGGGGGAUAACACUUCGAAAGAAGUGCUAAUACCGCAUACGUCCUGAGGGGGAAAGCGGGGGAUCGCAAGACCUCGCGCGAUUGGAGUGGCCGAUGUCAGAUUAGCUAGUUGGUGGGGUAAAGGCCUACCAAGGCGACGAUCUGUAGCUGGUCUGAGAGGAUGAUCAGCCACACUGGGACUGAGACACGGCCCAGACUCCUACGGGAGGCAGCAGUGGGGAAUUUUGGUCAAUGGGGGCAACCCUGAUCCAGCCAUUCCGCGUGAGUGAAGAAGGCCUUCGGGUUGUAAAGCUCUUUCGGCAGGAACGAAACGGUGGGCUCUAACAUAGUCCGCUAAUGACGGUACCUGAAGAAGAAGCACCGGCUAACUACGUG
This 484-nucleotide ribosomal RNA is filed under the name uncultured bacterium. Its description in RNAcentral is "partial 16S ribosomal RNA". It matches the Rfam family "Bacterial small subunit ribosomal RNA", at positions 30 to 507 of the family's 1533-position model. The record is from RNAcentral.